Pelobates cultripes (western spadefoot toad) is the source of this 1044-nucleotide non-coding RNA. Lineage: Eukaryota; Metazoa; Chordata; Amphibia; Anura; Pelobatidae. The record is from the annotation of a GenBank genome assembly.
GGGUCCAAAAAUCAGUCAGUAUAUGAUGUGACCACCAUUUGUCUCACACAGUGCAACACAUUUCCUUCGCAUAGAGUUGAUCAGGUUGUUGAUUGUGGCCUGUGGAGUGUUGGUCCACUCCUCUUCAAUGGUUGUGCAAAGUUGCUGGAUAUUGGCAGGACCUGGAACACGCUGCCGUAUACGCCGAUCAAGAGCAUCCCAAACACGCUCAAUGGGUGGCAUAUCCAGUGAGUAUGCUGGCCAUGCAUGAACUGGGAUGUUUUCAGCUUCCAGGAAUUGUGUACAGAUCCUUGCAACAUGAGGUAAUGCAUUAUCAUGCUGCAACAUGAGGUGAUGGUCGUGGAUGAAUGGCACAACAAUGGGCCUCAGUAACUCGUCACGGUAUCUCUGUGCAUUCAAAAUGUCAUCAAUAAAAUGCACCUGGAUUCAUUGUCCAUAACAUACGCCUUCCCAUACCAUAACCCCACUGCCACCAAGGGCCACUCAAUCCACAACGUUGAUGUCAGCAAGCCGAUCACCCACACAACACCAUACAUGCUGUCUGCCAUCUGCCUGUACAGUGAAAACACAGAUUAAUCCGUGAGGAGAACACCUCUCCAAAGUGCCAGACACCAUCGAAUGUGAGAAUUCGGUUAUGACGACAAACUGCAGUCAGGUAAAGACCCCGAUGAAGACAACGAGCAUGCAGAUGAGCUUCUCUGAGACGGUUUCUGACAGUUUGUGCAGACAUUCUUUGGUUAUGCAAACCGAUUGUUGCGGCAGCUGUCUGGGUGGCUGGUCUCAGACGAUCUUGGAGGUGAAGAUGCUGGAUGUGGAGGUCCUGUGCUGGUGUGGUUACACAUGGUCUGUGGUUGUGAGGCCAGUUGGAUGUAAUGCCAAAUUCUGUGAAACACCUUUGGAGAUGGCUUAUGGUAGAGAAAUGAACAUUCAAUUCACGGCAACAGCUUUGGUGGGCAUUCCAGCAGUCAGCAUGCCAAUUGCACGCUCCCUCAAAACUUGCAACAUCUGUGGCAUUGUGCUGUGUGAUAAAACUGCACAUUUUAG